AAUAACCACAAGGGGAGCUGCGUAAAGCAGCUGAGAGUGAGCGGCCGAGUUCUUACCCUUUGAACCUGUUAGUUAAUGCUAGCGAAGGAAUGUGGAUGCGAUAGGAA
The sequence is a regulatory RNA element, 107 nucleotides long. It matches the Rfam family "TPP riboswitch aptamer (THI element)". Rfam says of the family: Vitamin B(1) in its active form thiamin pyrophosphate (TPP) is an essential coenzyme that is synthesised by coupling of pyrimidine and thiazole moieties in bacteria. The record is from Rfam.